AUAAAUAUGUGUGAGAUUCUAGUAAUCCUCAGACCUACAAGAAAAAGCCGAGCAAAUAAAUUAGUUGUUUUCUUAAUCAUCUCUAUUCUCUAAAUCACUCAACUUAUCAUAACUUCAAUCAUCAUGGACAUGAAGAAGAUCACCGUCGUCGUCGUCCUUGUCAUCGCAGCCCUGAUGAGCCUCGUCGUGACUGCAAAGGACUCAGCAAAGACACCAGCGGCUGCCCCUAAGGGCGCCAAGCCUCCAGUAGCCUCAGCUACACCCGCCGGUGCUCCUAAGGAUGCUCAUGCCUCUAAAGCAGGUGGCGCCGCCCCCACUACCUUGUCCAUUGCUGGAUCAUUCUUCAACUCCUUCCUUGUGUCUUUCUUUGCCUAUUACAUGCAGUAAGCUCCCUGAAGGCUAGGAAUAAGAGAUUCAUGAUUAGAAAUUCUUGGAAGAUGGGCCGGCUUUCCAAGAGUAGAGAAAUGAUUUUUGGAUUUAAUUUGAUUAUGCAAUACUUUAUUAUCUAUGUAUUUUCUUCAUUUAAAUUAAAUUAAAUUGUCUUUGUUACUCAACUCCUCUAUUCUCUCUUAACUUCUUUCUUCUAGAAUAAUGUGUACGUACUGGGUUGAAGCUUACCACAAUAUGUACCAAUUUUUCAUUUCACCAUAUUGUAUAUUGAUGUUUUAGUUACCGAACAUCUACCAUCCUUGGAGAUCAAAAUUAAAUGUUACAAGCGUUAAAAGAUUGAAAAAAGAUGACAACUUGCUAUGAAGACUGAAAAAAAUCUCCUUC
RNAcentral lists this long non-coding RNA (774 nucleotides) under Fragaria vesca (wild strawberry). Its description in RNAcentral is "long non-coding RNA (FVES_LNC002958)". The record is from RNAcentral. Lineage: Eukaryota; Viridiplantae; Streptophyta; Magnoliopsida; Rosales; Rosaceae.